AUGAACGCUGGCGGCGUGCCUAAUACAUGCAAGUCGAGCGAACGGACGAGAAGCUUGCUUUUCUGAUGUUAGCGGCGGACGGGUGAGUAACACGUGGAUAACCUACCUAUAAGACUGGGAUAACUUCGGGAAACCGGAGCUAAUACCGGAUAAUAUUUUGAACCGCAUGGUUCAAAAGUGAAAGACGGUCUUGCUGUCACUUAUAGAUGGAUCCGCGCUGCAUUAGCUAGUUGGUAAGGUAACGGCUUACCAAGGCAACGAUGCAUAGCCGACCUGAGAGGGUGAUCGGCCACACUGGAACUGAGACACGGUCCAGACUCCUACGGGAGGCAGCAGUAGGGAAUCUUCCGCAAUGGGCGAAAGCCUGACGGAGCAACGCCGCGUGAGUGAUGAAGGUCUUCGGAUCGUAAAACUCUGUUAUUAGGGAAGAACAUAUGUGUAAGUAACUGUGCACAUCUUGACGGUACCUAAUCAGAAAGCCACGGCUAACUACAUG
RNAcentral lists this ribosomal RNA (496 nucleotides) under uncultured bacterium. RNAcentral describes it as "partial 16S ribosomal RNA". It matches the Rfam family "Bacterial small subunit ribosomal RNA", at positions 29 to 507 of the family's 1533-position model. The record is from RNAcentral.